ACUCAAAUGAAUUGACGGGGGCCCGCACAAGCAGCGGAGCAUGUGGCUUAAUUCGACGCAACGCGAAGAACCUUACCAAGGCUUGACAUACACCGGAAACGGCCAGAGAUGGUCGCCCCCUUGUGGUCGGUGUACAGGUGGUGCAUGGCUGUCGUCAGCUCGUGUCGUGAGAUGUUGGGUUAAGUCCCGCAACGAGCGCAACCCUUGUUCUGUGUUGCCAGCAUGCCCUUCGGGGUGAUGGGGACUCACAGGAGACUGCCGGGGUCAACUCGGAGGAAGGUGGGGACGACGUCAAGUCAUCAUGCCCCUUAUGUCUUGGGCUGCACACGUGCUACAAUGGCAGGUACAAUGAGCUGCGAAGCCGUGAGGCGGAGCGAAUCUCAAAAAGCCUGUCUCAGUUCGGAUUGGGGUCUGCAACUCGACCCCAUGAAGUCGGAGUUGCUAGUAAUCGCAGAUCAGCAUUGCUGCGGUGAAUACGUUCCCGGGCCUUGUACACACCGCCCGU
This 505-nucleotide ribosomal RNA is filed under the name uncultured bacterium. Its description in RNAcentral is "partial 16S ribosomal RNA". It matches the Rfam family "Bacterial small subunit ribosomal RNA", at positions 899 to 1397 of the family's 1533-position model. The record is from RNAcentral.